This 812-nucleotide ribosomal RNA is filed under the name [Candida] sp. BCMU BX05. Its description in RNAcentral is "eukaryotic LSU rRNA". It matches the Rfam family "Eukaryotic large subunit ribosomal RNA", at positions 1 to 868 of the family's 3401-position model. Lineage: Eukaryota; Fungi; Ascomycota; Saccharomycetes; Saccharomycetales. The record is from RNAcentral.
GUUUGACCUCAAAUCAGGUAAGAAUACCCGCUGAACUUAAGCAUAUCAAUAAGCGGAGGAAAAGAAACCAACAGGGAUUGCCUUAGUAGCGGCGAGUGAAGCGGCAAUAGCUCAAAUUUGAAAUCUGGCGUCUUCGGCGUCCGAGUUGUAAUUUGAAGAAGGUAUCUUUGGUCUUGGCUCUUGUCUAUGUUCCUUGGAACAGGACGUCACAGAGGGUGAGAAUCCCGUGCGAUGAGAUGCCCAAUUCCAUGUAAAGUUCCUUCGACGAGUCGAGUUGUUUGGGAAUGCAGCUCUAAGUGGGUGGUAAAUUCCAUCUAAAGCUAAAUAUUGGCGAGAGACCGAUAGCGAACAAGUACUGUGAAGGAAAGAUGAAAAGAACUUUGAAAAGAGAGUGAAAAAGUACGUGAAAUUGUUGAAAGGGAAGGGCUUGAGGUCAGACUUGGUUUUACCAGGCCAGCAUCAGUUUGGGUGGCAGGAUAAGUGCGUAGGAAAGUGGCUCCACUUCGGUGGUGUGUUAUAGCCUGCGUCGAUACUGCCUGCCCAGACUGAGGACUGCGUCUUUGACUAGGAUGCUGGCAUAAUGACCUUAAGCCGCCCGUCUUGAAACACGGACCAAGGAGUCUAACGUCUAUGCGAGUGUUUGGGUGUAAAACCCGUACGCGUAAUGAAAGUGAACGUAGGUGAGAGCCCUUAAGGGUGCAUCAUCGACCGAUCCUGAUGUCUUCGGAUGGAUUUGAGUAAGAGCAUAGCUGUUGGGACCCGAAAGAUGGUGAACUAUGCCUGAAUAGGGUGAAGCCAGAGGAAACUCUGGU